This 1086-nucleotide ribosomal RNA is filed under the name Latilactobacillus curvatus. RNAcentral describes it as "bacterial SSU rRNA". It matches the Rfam family "Bacterial small subunit ribosomal RNA", at positions 34 to 1081 of the family's 1533-position model. The record is from RNAcentral. Lineage: Bacteria; Bacillati; Bacillota; Bacilli; Lactobacillales; Lactobacillaceae.
CCCCUAAGGGGGCCGUUAUAAUGCAAGUCGAACGCACUCUCGUUAGAUUGAAGAAGCUUGCUUCUGAUUGAUAACAUUUGAGUGAGUGGCGGACGGGUGAGUAACACGUGGGUAACCUGCCCUAAAGUGGGGGAUAACAUUUGGAAACAGAUGCUAAUACCGCAUAAAACCUAGCACCGCAUGGUGCAAGGUUGAAAGAUGGUUUCGGCUAUCACUUUAGGAUGGACCCGCGGUGCAUUAGUUAGUUGGUGAGGUAAAGGCUCACCAAGACCGUGAUGCAUAGCCGACCUGAGAGGGUAAUCGGCCACACUGGGACUGAGACACGGCCCAGACUCCUACGGGAGGCAGCAGUAGGGAAUCUUCCACAAUGGACGAAAGUCUGAUGGAGCAACGCCGCGUGAGUGAAGAAGGUUUUCGGAUCGUAAAACUCUGUUGUUGGAGAAGAACGUAUUUGAUAGUAACUGAUCAGGUAGUGACGGUAUCCAACCAGAAAGCCACGGCUAACUACGUGCCAGCAGCCGCGGUAAUACGUAGGUGGCAAGCGUUGUCCGGAUUUAUUGGGCGUAAAGCGAGCGCAGGCGGUUUCUUAAGUCUGAUGUGAAAGCCUUCGGCUCAACCGAAGAAGUGCAUCGGAAACUGGGAAACUUGAGUGCAGAAGAGGACAGUGGAACUCCAUGUGUAGCGGUGAAAUGCGUAGAUAUAUGGAAGAACACCAGUGGCGAAGGCGGCUGUCUGGUCUGUAACUGACGCUGAGGCUCGAAAGCAUGGGUAGCAAACAGGAUUAGAUACCCUGGUAGUCCAUGCCGUAAACGAUGAGUGCUAGGUGUUGGAGGGUUUCCGCCCUUCAGUGCCGCAGCUAACGCAUUAAGCACUCCGCCUGGGGAGUACGACCGCAAGGUUGAAACUCAAAGGAAUUGACGGGGGCCCGCACAAGCGGUGGAGCAUGUGGUUUAAUUCGAAGCAACGCGAAGAACCUUACCAGGUCUUGACAUCCUUUGACCACUCUAGAGAUAGAGCUUUCCCUUCGGGGACAAAGUGACAGGUGGUGCAUGGUUGUCGUCAGCUCGUGUCGUGAGAUGUUGGGUU